UUCAUUCACUACUGUAAGUCGCUCUGGAUAAGAGCGUCUGCUAAAUGACGUAAA
Molecule: non-coding RNA, 54 nt
Organism: Salmo salar (Atlantic salmon)
Lineage: Eukaryota; Metazoa; Chordata; Actinopteri; Salmoniformes; Salmonidae
Source: Rfam